UACGUAGGGUGCAAGCGUUGUCCGGAAUUAUUGGGCGUAAAGAGCUCGUAGGCGGUCUGUUGCGUCCGCUGUGAAAACUCGGGGCUUAACCCCGAGCCUGCAGUGGAUACGGGCAGACUAGAGGUAGGUAGGGGAGAAUGGAAUUCCCGGUGUAGCGGUGAAAUGCGCAGAUAUCGGGAGGAACACCGGUGGCGAAGGCGGUUCUCUGGGCCUUCCCUGACGCUGAGGAGCGAAAGCGUGGGGAGCGAACAGG
RNAcentral lists this ribosomal RNA (253 nucleotides) under uncultured bacterium. Its description in RNAcentral is "partial 16S ribosomal RNA". It matches the Rfam family "Bacterial small subunit ribosomal RNA", at positions 524 to 776 of the family's 1533-position model. The record is from RNAcentral.